GCUUCCGUAGUGUAGUGGCUAUCACGGCUGUCUCACACACAGCAGGUCCUCAGUUCGAACCUGGGCGGAAGCA
This 73-nucleotide transfer RNA is filed under the name Daphnia magna. Its description in RNAcentral is "tRNA-Val". Lineage: Eukaryota; Metazoa; Arthropoda; Branchiopoda; Diplostraca; Daphniidae. RNAcentral also lists the same sequence under 1 other name. The record is from RNAcentral.